Molecule: long non-coding RNA, 1514 nt
Filed under: Mytilus galloprovincialis (Mediterranean mussel)
Lineage: Eukaryota; Metazoa; Mollusca; Bivalvia; Mytilida; Mytilidae
Source: RNAcentral
CAAUAAAGGUUAGUCAUCACGUCCUAGAGGCCUUUCUAGCCAUGUGAUCAUAGUAGUUGAACGUACUGUAUCAUAAGCCAAUGUCAGCACUGAGGUUUUGAGUUCCAAUCCAGCAAAUGGCAGGUAUGCUUGAUUCUGAUCUAAUUGACUACUAGGAUUUACAGUUUUCUUACAAAAGGUCUGUGGUUUUCACCUUAACUUCCUGCUUCUUCCUCCAAUAAAAACUGAUUGCUACUAAAAAAAAUCACAAUAGUUCUGGAAUGUGGCAUUAAACAUCAAUCAAUCAUUCCGUCAAUCAUCUGGCCCUAUUAAUUAUUUAACAUUCAUAGACUCUUCUCAAUAUACUUGUUUUAGAGGUUAAGCAAUUGAUGUCAGAGUCAAUCCUUUACAAUAAAGUUCAACAUGCUGACUUUGUUGGUACCAUACUUGUUAGUAAGUUGAAGUAUUCUAAGAAAUAAAAUGUUAGCGUAUUGAAACAAUAAACACAUAUUGGUAAAAUUAUUUAUGACAGUAUGUUAAAGAAGUCCUCAAUAGUUAUUUAUUCUAUUUUUGAAAAAAAACCUUGAAGACAAUUUGAAAGUCCUGUUUGAUAUGAAGUGCACAUGUACAAGUACAUGUUACAUGUGUAUUUGGUGUAUGGUUUAUAUGUCUUUAUAGUGUAUAAGGAAUGCUGUCUUUAUUGCAUUUUGUGGUUUCCAAAUUUGUGGAUUUAGAAAAGGAUUUCACUUUGUUUGAUUCUAUUUUGUGGUUUUGACAUAAGUUCUCCAAAAUCCAUGUAAUUUUAUAGUUCCCAAGGAAUAAUGAUAAAUCCCCAGUACAUAGAUCCCACAUAUCAUUUCCCUUAUUUCUACAAUAAAGUUGAUGAUGGAACUUUUUUGCACUAGUUUAACCUCUAUUGCUUCUGUUCAUUGAACUGAGAUUUUAGAUUGUUCUAGACUUGAUUGAAAACCAAUUAUUGAUGUAACCUGGCAGUUUGGUAAGAAUGUAGUUACAAUCAUUGUCAGUGUGUUAAUCAGAAUUAUUCAUCAGUUAAAGUUAUAUGUUACUAUAAUUUACUUCUGUCUACCAAAAUAACUUUACCAAAAAUCUCUGGUAUUUAGUGGAAUUUUGUUGUGGUAAAGUAAUAAAAAAGAUACAGUAAAGAAUUGUGAAGUAAUUUAGUUUUCUAUAUGUUUUGUUAUGUAUUUUAAAAAUCUGUGAUUUAACAUUGUGAUUGAAAAAAUGAGAAUAACAAUUAUGCAUCAAUUGAAAAAAAAUGUGUACAAUCGAACUUUUCAGUUAAAAAUCAUACCACAUCUUCUUAUAUCUAUUGAAUGAAUUUGACCCUUGACUUUAACUUCAACUUGUACAUACUCUUGUGAUAAUUCUAAAAAUUUUCUUUUUGUAUUCCAGAUAUAUAUUAAUGGUCCUUUAGACUCCUGAAACCUGGGGCUCUUAGCCAAACACUAAAUUCAAGUCACAGCAACAACUUACAGUCCACUCGGAGCUGGAGACAUAACCAGCAGAAUUUAUAG